ACAAGACCAAGAGCCUUCAAAGCCCUNAGUAAGUAAAAANACUUAAUUUCUG
RNAcentral lists this transfer RNA (52 nucleotides) under Macaca nemestrina (pig-tailed macaque). RNAcentral's name for it is "partial tRNA-Trp". Lineage: Eukaryota; Metazoa; Chordata; Mammalia; Primates; Cercopithecidae. The record is from RNAcentral.